Magnolia sinica is the source of this 655-nucleotide long non-coding RNA. RefSeq lists it as uncharacterized. NCBI's taxonomy places the organism in Eukaryota, Viridiplantae, Streptophyta, Magnoliopsida, Magnoliales, Magnoliaceae. The record is from RefSeq and is a predicted model, not a curated record. The transcript has 3 exons.
UUUGGAAUACUGCACUUUUUAGGUAGUUCUUUCAUCUUGACAAGGAACAUUAGAAGAAUGGUUUUAAUGUAAUCUGCAGGUUUAUGGGAGAUACGUGUGCAUUGACAACUAAUAUUUUAAUGGGGUGGAUCUUAUGAAAGUUCCACCCAAGGGGCUAUCAGUUUGUUAGCCUGGUUCUUUUUGGAUUAUGGGAGAUAUGUGUGCAUUGACAACUAAUAUUUUAAUGUAAUCUGCUGGUUUAUGGCUAAUGAUGGGAAGAUGAAGCUGAAGGCAAUGCUUCUAACCCAUUCCUCUUCAGAAAUACAUUCUAGAAAACUUCAGAACUUUGGUCUGACUUCUAUUCUUGAUUAUACAAGCAAUGCCAUUCCAAAUCAGCCUAGAAAAUUUCACAGGAGAUGCAUUUUUGCACCUAGCAAGUGAACAAGUUUGCCUCGCUUGGUCUAGAACGAGUUCCCCUCGGGUCAAGAGUGCAUCGAGCAUGUCCAAAAACUAGUUAGGUACAUAAAAGGCCAUCACAUUGUGGAGCUCUUCAUCUGCUUGACGGACCUUCAUUGAAUUGUCCUUUUAUUUUGAAGUCUUCCAUUGUAGAUUUUAGUUUUUAUAGUCAGGUUUGCAAGUCAGAUAAAUAAUGUUUCAAAUUACAUCAUGGUUGUUU